CCUACGGGAGGCAGCAGUGGGGAAUUUUCCGCAAUGGGCGAAAGCCUGACGGAGCAACGCCGCGUGAGGGAUGAAGGCCUCUGGGCUGUAAACCUCUUUUCUCAAGGAAGAAGAUCUGACGGUACUUGAGGAAUAAGCCACGGCUAAUUCCGUGCCAGCAGCCGCGGUAAUACGGGAGUGGCAAGCGUUAUCCGGAAUUAUUGGGCGUAAAGCGUCCGCAGGCGGCCCUUCAAGUCUGCUGUUAAAACGUGGAGCUUAACUCCAUCAUGGCAGUGGAAACUGUUGGGCUUGAGUGUGGUAGGGGCAGAGGGAAUUCCCGGUGUAGCGGUGAAAUGCGUAGAUAUCGGGAAGAACACCAGUGGCGAAGGCGCUCUGCUGGGCCAUAACUGACGCUCAUGGACGAAAGCCAGGGGAGCGAAAGGGAUUAGAUACCCUGGUAGUCCUGGCCGUAAACGAUGAACACUAGGUGUCGGGGGAAUCGACCCCCUCGGUGUCGUAGCCAACGCGUUAAGUGUUCCGCCUGGGGAGUACGCACGCAAGUGUGAAACUCAAAGGAAUUGACGGA
This 565-nucleotide ribosomal RNA is filed under the name uncultured bacterium. Its description in RNAcentral is "bacterial SSU rRNA". It matches the Rfam family "Bacterial small subunit ribosomal RNA", at positions 338 to 917 of the family's 1533-position model. The record is from RNAcentral.